UACGUAGGGGGCAAGCGUUGUCCGGAUUUAUUGGGCGUAAAGAGCGUGUAGGCGGCUUUACAGGUCCGUUGUGAAAACUCGAGGCUCAACCUCGAGACGCCGGUGGAAACCGUAAGGCGUAGAGUCCGGAAGAGGAGAGUGGAAUUCCUGGUGUAGCGGUGAAAUGCGCAGAUAUCAGGAGGAACACCCGUGGCGAAAGCGGCUCUCUGGGACGGUACUGACGCUGAGACGCGAAAGCGUGGGGAGCAAACAGG
Molecule: ribosomal RNA, 254 nt
Filed under: uncultured bacterium
Lineage: Bacteria
Description: partial 16S ribosomal RNA
Rfam family: Bacterial small subunit ribosomal RNA
Source: RNAcentral